GUGAGGAAUAUUGGUCAAUGGGCGAGAGCCUGAACCAGCCAAGUCGCGUGAAGGAAGAAGGAUCUAUGGUUCGUAAACUUCUUUUGCAGGGGAAUAAAGUGCGGGACGUGUCCUGUUUUGUAUGUACCCUGAGAAUAAGGAUCGGCUAACUCCGUGCCAGCAGCCGCGGUAAUACGGAGGAUCCGAGCGUUAUCCGGAUUUAUUGGGUUUAAAGGGUGCGUAGGUGGAUUGAUAAGUCAGCGGUGAAAGUUUGUAGCUUAACUGUAAAAUUGCCGUUGAAACUGUCGGUCUUGAGUGCAAAUGAGGUAGGCGGAAUGUGUUGUGUAGCGGUGAAAUGCUUAGAUAUAACACAGAACUCCGAUUGCGAAGGCAGCUUACUAAGCUACAACUGACACUGAAGCACGAAAGCGUGGGGAUCAAACAGGAUUAGAUACCCGUGUAGUCC
RNAcentral lists this ribosomal RNA (445 nucleotides) under uncultured bacterium. Its description in RNAcentral is "partial 16S ribosomal RNA". It matches the Rfam family "Bacterial small subunit ribosomal RNA", at positions 354 to 796 of the family's 1533-position model. The record is from RNAcentral.